UACGUAGGCAGCGAGCGUUGUUCGGAGUUACUGGGCGUAAAGAGUGCGUAGGCGGUUUUCUAAGUUUGGUGUGAAAUCUCCCGGCUCAACUGGGAGGGUGCGCCGAAGACUGGAAGGCUUGAGUAUGGGAGAGGUAAGCGGAAUUCCUGGUGUAGCGGUGAAAUGCGCAGAUAUCAGGAGGAACACCAAUGGCGAAGGCAGCUCGCUGGGACGGUACCGACGCUGAGACGCGAAAGCGUGGGGAGCAAACAGG
RNAcentral lists this ribosomal RNA (253 nucleotides) under uncultured bacterium. Its description in RNAcentral is "partial 16S ribosomal RNA". It matches the Rfam family "Bacterial small subunit ribosomal RNA", at positions 524 to 776 of the family's 1533-position model. The record is from RNAcentral.